RNAcentral lists this ribosomal RNA (253 nucleotides) under uncultured bacterium. Its description in RNAcentral is "partial 16S ribosomal RNA". It matches the Rfam family "Bacterial small subunit ribosomal RNA", at positions 524 to 776 of the family's 1533-position model. The record is from RNAcentral.
UACGUAGGGCGCAAGCGUUGUCCGGAUUCACUGGGUGUAAAGGGUGCGCAGGCGGACUGGCAAGUCAGGGGUGAAAUCUCACAGCUCAACUGUGAAACUGCCUUUGAUACUGCUGGUCUUGAGUCAGGGAGAGGUUGAUGGAAUUCCAGGUGUAGCGGUGAAAUGCGUAGAUAUCUGGAAGAACACCGGUGGCGAAGGCGGGUCUCUGGGCCGAUACUGACGCUGAGGAGCGAAAGCGUGGGGAGCGAACAGG